This is a long non-coding RNA of Stegostoma tigrinum, 1163 nucleotides long. RefSeq lists it as uncharacterized. The record is from RefSeq and is a predicted model, not a curated record. The transcript has 3 exons. Lineage: Eukaryota; Metazoa; Chordata; Chondrichthyes; Orectolobiformes; Stegostomatidae.
CGUAGCAGCCACGCACUGAAGGCCAGGGGCACUUGGGAGCUGCUGUAAGCCCCAGAUGCGUGUUCGUUUUGGAUUUUUCACAAAGCUUUGAUUAAUUGUUUUAUACAGAAAGUGCCAGCACGUUAAGUUACGAAGUAGAGGGUUCUUCACACCGAAAGGACAUGUUACAUCCUCCAUUCUUUAUUAUAAACCUCGCUGUAGAACAAAGCAAAUGGACAAUCAUAUACAUCAUCACAGACUGUGUUGUGAGGCAGCUACACCUCAGCUAAGGACUACCAGUGCCAACAUAACAGAAGACAAAUGUCCGAGUAGCAUCACUAUUAACCACCUAACCAGUUGCUUUGACAAAUCCCCAAAAAUAUUGCCACCAUUGCUGAAAAAAAAUCCUACUCUCUCACAGUUCUUUUCUCCUAAACAGACAUAUAACAGUAAAAUCGUAUCUGAUCCUACAGUUUAAUGAUGCCAUGGGCGUGCAAGAAUAGACAUUUUCUACAUGUUUCCAUUAAAGACAUAAGGAAAAUAUGACUAUAGGGUGAUCCCUUUCAGAAUACCACACACAAGAAAGAAAGUAUGAGCAGAUUUCCUGUAAAUAUUGUGUGAUUCAGAAGGCUGCAGUAAUAAAACUCAGGAUUGUAAGAACAGCAGCACAGGUGUCCCUGUCUCACAUUACAUUCUCCUUGAAAUUUUAGAAAACCUAGACAUCCAAUCCAAUCAUCAGCUUGUGGAGCAUGUCCCUACUCCACUAUGCAGCUGUCUGAGGCUAUCAUAAGAGAAUCAGGAACUGCACUAUACAGUGAAGGUGGAGUGAGUAAUAUCUAACAAGAUAGAAAACCUUUGGUGUGGAAUCACACAACCAUUGAGUCACACAGAUAAAUGGAGCCCACAUAAAAAUAAUGUAGACAAAGGGCUGAUAUUUUCAAUGCUUGUAACAGUUUCACACAGUUAAUGAAUUUUAACAUGAUUCAUGUUGUAUUGUGUGUCUCUAAACAAAAUAAGGAAUCUUUGUAAAACUUUGUGGAGAUGAUUUUUAUUGAACAAAGUUGGCACAAAAUCUGCCUAUCCAGUUGGAUAUUAGAGAUUUCAUUGCAUUACUCAAAGAUAGGUAUUAAAUUCUCCUAAUGUUCUCACUAACAAUUCAAGCAAUUAUAUUGCAUAUUAAUAAA